Molecule: long non-coding RNA, 591 nt
Filed under: Gossypium barbadense (sea-island cotton)
Lineage: Eukaryota; Viridiplantae; Streptophyta; Magnoliopsida; Malvales; Malvaceae
Description: long non-coding RNA (GBAR_LNC015521)
Source: RNAcentral
UGAAAAUCAAUGAUAAAACUGAUAUCUAGAGUUGAGCUAUGGGAUUGACUAGAUGAGGUGGAUGUCCUCAUUUGAGUUGGAUUGACUACCCUUGGAGAAGGACUAACUCCUCUUGAAGUUGAAUUGAUAACUGAGGUUGAGCUAGAGGUGGAUAUCCUCAUCCGAUUUGGACUAACUACCCUUGGAGUUGGACUAACUCCUCUUGGAGUUGAAUUGAUAACUGAGGUUGAGCUAGAGGUGGAUGUCCUCAUCCGAGUUGGACUAACUACCCUUGGAGUUGGACUGACUCCUCUUAGAGUUGAACUGAUAACUGAGGUUGAGCUAUGAGAUUGACUAGAUGAGGUGGACGUCCUCAUCCAAGUUGGACUAACUACCAUUGGAGUUGGACUGGUAAUUGAAGUUGAGCUAUGGGAUUGACUGGAUGAGGUGGAUGUCCUCAUCUGAGUUGGACUAACUACCCUUGGAGUUGGACUGGCUCCUCUUGGAGUUGAAUCGAUAACUGAAGUUGAGCUAUGGGAUUGACUCGAUGAGGUGGAUGUCCUCAUCCGAGUUGGACUAACUACCCUUGGAGUUGGACUGAAUCCUCUUGGA